GACGAACGCUGGCGGCAUGCCUAACACAUGCAAGUCGAACGGAAAGGCCCUGCUUUUGUGGGGUGCUCGAGUGGCGAACGGGUGAGUAACACGUGAGUAACCUGCCCUUGACUUUGGGAUAACUUCAGGAAACUGGGGCUAAUACCGGAUAGGAGCUCCUGCUGCAUGGUGGGGGUUGGAACGUUUAGGCGGUUGGGGAUGGACUCGCGGCUGAUGAGCUUGUUGGUGGGGUAGUGGCUUACCAAGGGAUAGACGGAUAGCCGGCCUGAGAGGGGGACCGGGGUCAUGGGGACUGAGAGAGGCCCCAGACGGCAACGGGAGGCAGCGGGGGGAAGUCUGGUACAGUGGGAGGGAGUGUGAUGCAGAAACGCCGGGUGCGGAAAGACGGUCUGCGGGUUGUAAACCGCUGUCGCUUGAGACGAAGCGGGAGUGACGGUAAUGGGUGAAGAAGCACCGGCUAACUACGUG
Molecule: ribosomal RNA, 468 nt
Filed under: uncultured bacterium
Lineage: Bacteria
Description: partial 16S ribosomal RNA
Rfam family: Bacterial small subunit ribosomal RNA
Source: RNAcentral